CCCUCCUACGUCCUUGAUGCCGCCGCCGCCGCCGCCCCUCCUACAUCUGAAAAUUGUUUUCAGACACUGGACAACAGCAGCACACUUUGAUUUGCUGAGAAACAGGAAACUUAAAGGGGAAGUCCCAUGAUUUCCUUGUUCUUUGGUGGGGACAAUUUCUCACCAGCUGCACUGCGGGCUAAAGUCCACUCAGAGCAGGGCAGCCCACUGAUCUGAGAAGGCAGAGAUCAGAGUUCAGGGCUGCUGAAGCAACUGCAACCUGCAGGGUAGGGCAUCAGUGAGGACACAGCUGUGCAGAGGGGCAGCUCCCAAAGUCCACGUGGGGUCCCAUUUGCAUACUUAUCAAGGACUGAACUCUACCCGCACAAAAAAAGACUAAUAGAUUUAACAGAGGGGUGGCUGCUACAAAAUUAUGUUUGGACCAGAGGUACUUCAGGUGGAGGAGCAUUGGGGAAUGAAUGGGCGAUGGAGUUCCUGCCAUCCGUGGUGGGGGAACGACGUCAUGCACACCUCAUUAGCACCCAGGACUCUUCAUGAUGGUCUAACCUGGUUACAUGUCCUGGUUCCUUGGAAACCCUCACAUAAUCUAUGCUACUGUCAGAGUUAUCAAAUGGAGAUGUCCAAAAAUGACUACAUAUUAUGUAAGUUACAAUCUCAUGUGUCACUUACAGAGCUCGUGUGUCACAUCUGGGCUAGAUCAUUUCCUAGUAUGGAAGGAAGGCUCUUUGGGGACUGAUGGUGGUGAUGGUGGUGGUCUCAGCCUUGUUGUUGCUUUAUGUGUGCCUCGCAAUUGAUUUUAUUCUGGAGUACAAUAAUAUAAGUUAAUAAAAUUUGAUACUAGGUAAGAUUUAUGAUUCUCAAAAGGUUUAUUUGCAGCCUGUUCUUCUGUGUUGUCUCCAUUUCAGGUAAAUAUUCUCUUAUGCAAUUCCCUGAUGUUUCUUAAAACAGAGCUCAUGUCCUUUGCAGGAACAUGGAUGGAGUUGGAGGCCAGUGUUCUUAGCAAACCAGCUCAGGAACAGAAAACUGAAUACUGCAGGUUCUCACUUAUAGGUGGCAGCUAAAUAAUAAAAACACACCAACACAAAGAGGGGAACAAGAGACACUGGGGCUUACCUGAGGGUAAAGGGUGGGAAGAGGGAGAGGAGCAGAAAAAAUAACUAUUGGGUACUAGGUGUAGUACUGCAUGAUGAAAUAAUGCAUACAACCUGAGUUUAUAUAACACACUUCUACACAUAUUCCUGGACCUAAAAUAAAUUUUAUAAAAAUGAUGAGUGUUGGCCAAGUCAAACCAGAAUAACUCAGUGUGUAGGGUCAUGGUU
This 1319-nucleotide long non-coding RNA is filed under the name Callithrix jacchus (white-tufted-ear marmoset). RNAcentral describes it as "lncRNA (ENSCJAG00000072769.1)". Lineage: Eukaryota; Metazoa; Chordata; Mammalia; Primates; Cebidae. The record is from RNAcentral.